This 450-nucleotide ribosomal RNA is filed under the name uncultured bacterium. RNAcentral's name for it is "bacterial SSU rRNA". It matches the Rfam family "Bacterial small subunit ribosomal RNA", at positions 355 to 825 of the family's 1533-position model. The record is from RNAcentral.
UAGGGAAUAUUGCACAAUGGGGGAAACCCUGAUGCAGCGACGCCGCGUGAGUGAUGAAGGCCUUCGGGUCGUAAAGCUCUGUCGUAUGGGACUAACAAAAUGAAGGUACCAUGCAAGAAAGGAUCGGCUAACUUCGUGCCAGCAGCCGCGGUAAGACGAGGGAUCCUAGCGUUGUUCGGAAUUAUUGGGCGUAAAGCGGGUGUAGGCGGACUUAUAAGUCAGGUGUGAAAUCCCAGGGCUCAACCCUGGAAGUGCACUUGAUACUGCAAGUCUUGAGUGUGGUAGAGGCUAUUACAAUUCCUGGUGUAGUGGUGAAAUACGUAGAUAUCAGGAGGAAUACCGGAGGCGAAGGCGGAUAGCUGGGCCAACACUGACGCUGAGACCCGAAAGCGUGGGGAUCAAACAGGAUUAGAUACCCCCGUAGUCCCUGAGCGGGCUGGCAAGGCGCAU